RNAcentral lists this ribosomal RNA (468 nucleotides) under uncultured bacterium. RNAcentral's name for it is "partial 16S ribosomal RNA". It matches the Rfam family "Bacterial small subunit ribosomal RNA", at positions 28 to 507 of the family's 1533-position model. The record is from RNAcentral.
GACGAACGCUGGCGGCGUGCUUAACACAUGCAAGUCGAACGGAAAGGCCCUGCUUUUGUGGGGUGCUCGAGUGGCGAACGGGUGAGUAACACGUGAGUAACCUGCCCUUGACUUUGGGAUAACUUCAGGAAACUGGGGCUAAUACCGGAUAGGAGCUCCUGCUGCAUGGUGGGGGUUGGAAAGUUUCGGCGGUUGGGGAUGGACUCGCGGCUUAUCAGCUUGUUGGUGGGGUAGUGGCUUACCAAGGCUUUGACGGGUAGCCGGCCUGAGAGGGUGACCGGCCACAUUGGGACUGAGAUACGGCCCAGACUCCUACGGGAGGCAGCGGUGGGGAAUAUUGCACAAUGGGAGGAAGCCUGAUGCAGCAACGCCGCGUGCGGGAUGACGGCCUUCGGGUUGUAAACCGCUUUCGCCUGUGACGAAGCGUGAGUGACGGUAAUGGGUAAAGAAGCACCGGCUAACUACGUG